Molecule: ribosomal RNA, 467 nt
Filed under: uncultured bacterium
Lineage: Bacteria
Description: bacterial SSU rRNA
Rfam family: Bacterial small subunit ribosomal RNA
Source: RNAcentral
GGGCCCGCACAAGCAGUGGAGCAUGUGGUUUAAUUCGAAGCAACGCGAAGAACCUUACCAGCCCUUGACAUCCCGGUCGCGACUUUCAGAGAUGAUCGUCUUCAGUUCGGCUGGACCGGUGACAGGUGCUGCAUGGCUGUCGUCAGCUCGUGUCGUGAGAUGUUGGGUUAAGUCCCGCAACGAGCGCAACCCUCGCCCCUAGUUGCCAUCAUUCAGUUGGGCACUCUAUGGGGACUGCCGGUGAUAAGCCGGAGGAAGGUGGGGAUGACGUCAAGUCUUCAUGGCCCUUACGGGCUGGGCUACACACGUGCUACAAUGGCGGUGACAGAGGGCAGCUACACAGCGAUGUGAUGCUAAUCCCUAAAAGCCGUCUCAGUUCGGAUUGCACUCUGCAACUCGAGUGCAUGAAGUCGGAAUUGCUAGUAAUCGUAGAUCAGCACGCUACGGUGAAUACGUUCCCGGGCCUU